GCCAGACUCCUACGGGAGGCAGCAGUGGGGAAUAUUGCACAAUGGGGGAAACCCUGAUGCAGCAACGCCGCGUGAGUGAAGAAGUAUUUCGGUAUGUAAAGCCCUAUCGGCAGGGAAGAGGGAGGACGGUACCUGACUAAGAAGCCCCGGCUAACUACGUGCCAGCAGCCGCGGUAAUACGUAGGGGGCAAGCGUUAUCCGGAUUUACUGGGUGUAAAGGGGGCGCAGACGGCAGCGCAAGCCAGGAGUGAAAGCCCGGGGCCCAACCCCGGGACUGCUCUUGGAACUGCGCGGCUGGAGUGCAGAAGGGGCAGGCGGAAUUCCUGGUGUAGCGGUGAAAUGCGUAGAUAUCAGGAGGAACACCGGUGGCGAAGGCGGCCUGCUGGACUGCGACUGACGUUGAGGCCCGAAAGCGUGGGGAGCAAACAGGAUUAGAUACCCUAGUA
This 446-nucleotide ribosomal RNA is filed under the name uncultured bacterium. RNAcentral's name for it is "partial 16S ribosomal RNA". It matches the Rfam family "Bacterial small subunit ribosomal RNA", at positions 330 to 792 of the family's 1533-position model. The record is from RNAcentral.